RNAcentral lists this ribosomal RNA (202 nucleotides) under uncultured bacterium. RNAcentral's name for it is "partial 16S ribosomal RNA". It matches the Rfam family "Bacterial small subunit ribosomal RNA", at positions 568 to 774 of the family's 1533-position model. The record is from RNAcentral.
CGUGUAGGCGGAGAUGCAAGUUGGGAGUGAAAUCCAUGGGCUCAACCCAUGAACUGCUCUCAAAACUGUAUCCCUUGAGUAUCGGAGAGGCAAGCGGAAUUCCUAGUGUAGCGGUGAAAUGCGUAGAUAUUAGGAGGAACACCAGUGGCGAAGGCGGCUUGCUGGACGACAACUGACGCUGAGCGCAAGCUGGGAGCAAACA